Molecule: non-coding RNA, 29 nt
Filed under: Cricetulus griseus (Chinese hamster)
Lineage: Eukaryota; Metazoa; Chordata; Mammalia; Rodentia; Cricetidae
Source: RNAcentral
GGGCUUGUUGGGAUCAUGGCGGAGAAUCA